Molecule: transfer RNA, 76 nt
Filed under: Desulfacinum infernum DSM 9756
Lineage: Bacteria; Pseudomonadati; Thermodesulfobacteriota; Syntrophobacteria; Syntrophobacterales; Syntrophobacteraceae
Also listed under: 5 other names
Description: tRNA_Lys_TTT
Rfam family: tRNA
About the family: Transfer RNA (tRNA) molecules are approximately 80 nucleotides in length. Their secondary structure includes four short double-helical elements and three loops (D, anti-codon, and T loops). Further hydrogen bonds mediate the characteristic L-shaped molecular structure. tRNAs have two regions of fundamental functional importance: the anti-codon, which is responsible for specific mRNA codon recognition, and the 3' end, to which the tRNAs corresponding amino acid is attached (by aminoacyl-tRNA synthetases). tRNAs cope with the degeneracy of the genetic code in two manners: having more than one tRNA (with a specific anti-codon) for a particular amino acid; and 'wobble' base-pairing, i.e. permitting non-standard base-pairing at the 3rd anti-codon position.
Source: RNAcentral
GGGCCGUUAACUCAGUUGGUAGAGUAUCUGCCUUUUAAGCAGAGAGUCGCUGGUUCGAGUCCAGCACGGCCCACCA